This 476-nucleotide ribosomal RNA is filed under the name uncultured bacterium. RNAcentral's name for it is "bacterial SSU rRNA". It matches the Rfam family "Bacterial small subunit ribosomal RNA", at positions 327 to 793 of the family's 1533-position model. The record is from RNAcentral.
CGACUAUCACUCCUACGGGGAGGCAGCAGUAGGGAAUCUUCACAAUGGACGAAAGUCUGAUGGAGCAACGCCGCGUGAGUGAAGAAGGGUUUCGGCUCGUAAAAACUCUGUUGUUUAAAGAAGAACAUAUCUGAGAGUAACUGUUCAGGUAUUGACGGUAUUUAACCAGAAAGCCACGGCUAACUACGUGCCAGCAGCCGCGGUAAUACGUAGGUGGCAAGCGUUGUCCGGAUUUAUUGGGCGUAAAGCGAGCGCAGGCGGUUUUUAAGUUCUGAUGUGAAAGCCUUCGGCUCAACCGGAGAAGUGCAUCGGAAACUGGGAAACUUGAGUGCAGAAGAGGACAGUGGAACUCCAUGUGUAGCGGUGAAAUGCGUAGAUAUAUGGAAGAACACCAGUGGCGAAGGCGGCUGUCUGGUCUGUAACUGACGCUGAGGCUCGAAAGUAUGGGUAGCAAACAGGAUUAGAUACCCUGGUAG